GUUUUCUUCUCAUAUGCCUCAAUAGUAGUGGUAUUAGCGGAAACCAAGGAUAUGUGCAUGAUCAGAAAUCCCAGAACACUCAAUGCAAAUGCCAGAUUCAAAACAAAGGCAAGAAAUGUGGUUGCAAGAGUCCCAGGUGUGCCAGGAAUUUCACCAUCGCUAAAGAAUGCUAUAAAGUGUGGCAGCAGCGACAAAGUCACAAGACUUGUCUCAAGAAA
RNAcentral lists this unclassified non-coding RNA (218 nucleotides) under Hevea brasiliensis (rubber tree). Lineage: Eukaryota; Viridiplantae; Streptophyta; Magnoliopsida; Malpighiales; Euphorbiaceae. The record is from RNAcentral.